GGGGACGAUCGGUUUCGACGGUAGAUGUUUUACAGGGGGAAGCGGGCCGAGAACCCCGGGUCAUCUCGUAAACGUCCUGGGAAAACAAUAAGUGCCGAACCUAAGCGCACUGACUUCGCCCUCGCUGCCUGAGCAACGAGUCGAGUCUGGAACCCUGAGCUAGCCUUCGCCUCAGGUCCUUCCAUCAUCCAGAAGGCCACUGCUUUCAGUCCUCGUCGUUGGGGCUGUCUGAACACUUAGACGACUGAGCUAGUCGGCGACUUGUCCAUGAGAGCGCCGUAGCUGAGAAAACGCCUAUAUGGACUGCGCCCGGAGAAGCCCCUGUUUCGCACUAUCGGACGCGGGUUCGAUUCCCGCCGUCUCCACCA
RNAcentral lists this transfer-messenger RNA (368 nucleotides) under Dermabacteraceae. RNAcentral's name for it is "TAE3-ERU5 sp019218415 Standard tmRNA". It matches the Rfam family "transfer-messenger RNA". Rfam says of the family: Bacterial tmRNA, also known as 10Sa RNA or SsrA, is named for its dual tRNA and mRNA-like properties. Its role is to liberate the mRNA from a stalled ribosome. The record is from RNAcentral. RNAcentral also lists the same sequence under 5 other names. Lineage: Bacteria; Bacillati; Actinomycetota; Actinomycetes; Micrococcales.